Long non-coding RNA from Hemicordylus capensis (graceful crag lizard), 1049 nucleotides. RefSeq lists it as uncharacterized. The transcript has 4 exons. NCBI's taxonomy places the organism in Eukaryota, Metazoa, Chordata, Lepidosauria, Squamata, Cordylidae. The record is from RefSeq and is a predicted model, not a curated record.
GCAUGUGUGUCUAUUUUUUUUUUUUUAAAUUUAAAGCGUACUUUCCCCAAUGCUGCUCUGUCCCUUUAAAUGCAGAAACUGCUGGGACGUGGCAUCUCUCUUGCCAAGCAGCAGCAGGAGAACAGCAGAGGGUUGGCAUCAGCUCCAAAAGGCAGCCAGCGAGAAAUGUGGCCACCACAGAAUGGCUGCAUUUCUGGGCUGCUCUGAAGUGACCUCUCUCCAGCAGGAGGAAGCUUCUGCACGAAACCCAGGUUAUAGAGGGUAGCAGAAUUCAGAUGAUACAACCUCAGGUUUCAGCAGUAAAACGCACUGAACCAACCAGGGUUCACAUUCAGUUUGGGAGUGAAAACUGAGCUGCAGUUGGGUGAUGAAGUUGCGGCUUCUUGCUUUCGGACAAUCACAAACUCCAACCUCUGGCACAUUUACCUCUGGUUUGGCAUUACGUCCAAAUGGGGACAUUGUGUUGGCUGGUAUCUGGUUGCACAAAGUGGCUAAACAGGCAUAUAUGUUCCUUUUUACUUGGAUGUCACAGUGAAUAAUGGGAACUCUAGUCAUGCUUCCUUUCCAGUUUUGAUAGAAAAGAAAAUAUAGCCAAUGGCAGCAGUGCAGCAGCAAAUACAUUGAGGUGAGGAACACUGAGAGAAGCAAUUGGCGCAAGGUCAGCCACGGCAGAAUUUUUGGAACUUACAAUCUUUCUUACUGUUGUUCGACUUCUGGGAGUAAGGCAAACCCUUGCUGACCCACAGCAAAUGAUGCAGAGAUCUACCAGUAAAUGCUGAUAUGCCACCUGCCUUUUGGUUUGCAAACUUAAUGAGCAGACAUCCCCAGCAUGGAGGGAAUGCAGAGGCGGCUGUUGGCAAGGAUGAGAAAAACAGCAUUUGCAGACCAACAUCCAGAGAAGCUUCCUGACCAAGAAGAAUAGACUUUUUCUUAUUUUUAAAAUGUUAACAUAUAAUAAAUAUUGUAUUGUUGGUAACAAUAGUAGAAUAUUAGAAAUAUUAUUAACACUUUAAAGUUUUGUUCAUAACUAAUAAAAUUAUUGGGAGAAA